CCUACGGGAGGCAGCAGUGGGGAAUAUUGGACAAUGGGGGCAACCCUGAUCCAGCCAUGCCGCGUGUGUGAAGAAGGCCCUCGGGUUGUAAAGCACUUUCAGUGAGGAAGAACGCCUGGUGGUUAAUACCCAUCAGGAAAGACAUCACUCACAGAAGAAGCACCGGCUAACUCCGUGCCAGCAGCCGCGGUAAUACGGAGGGUGCGAGCGUUAAUCGGAAUUACUGGGCGUAAAGCGCGCGUAGGUGGCUUGAUAAGCCGGUUGUGAAAGCCCCGGGCUCAACCUGGGAACGGCAGCCGGAACUGUCAAGCUAGAGUGCAGGAGAGGAAGGUAGAAUUCCCGGUGUAGCGGUGAAAUGCGUAGAGAUCGGGAGGAAUACCAGUGGCGAAGGCGGCCUUCUGGACUGACACUGACACUGAGGUGCGAAAGCGUGGGUAGCAAACAGGAUUAGAUACCCGAGUAGUC
RNAcentral lists this ribosomal RNA (465 nucleotides) under Vreelandella stevensii. RNAcentral's name for it is "partial 16S ribosomal RNA". It matches the Rfam family "Bacterial small subunit ribosomal RNA", at positions 338 to 795 of the family's 1533-position model. The record is from RNAcentral. Lineage: Bacteria; Pseudomonadati; Pseudomonadota; Gammaproteobacteria; Oceanospirillales; Halomonadaceae.